GAGACUCUGUGCGCGUGCAUAUCAAUAAGCGGAGGAAAAGAAACUAACAAGGAUUCCCUUAGUAACGGCGAGUGAAGCGGGAAGAGCUCAAAUUUGAAAUCUUCAAGGUUCUACCUUGACGAAUUGUAGUUUAUAGAAGUGUUUUCUGUUAGUAGAGUGGCAAAAGUUCUUUGGAAUAGGACAUCAUAGAGGGUGAGAAUCCCGUAUUUGGUCAUUCUUUCUAGCUUUGUGAUACACUUUCAACGAGUCGGAUUGUUUGGGAAUGCAGUCCAAAAUGGGUGGUAAAUUUCAUCUAAAGCUAAAUAUUGGCGAGAGACCGAUAGCGAACAAGUACCGUGAGGGAAAGAUGAAAAGAACUUUGAAAAGAGAGUUAAACAGUACGUGAAAUUGUCAAAAGGGAAGCGUUUGACACCAGUGUUGUUUUCUCGAAAAUCAAUUAAAAGUGAUGGGAUUUUGUGUUGUAUUGACUUUAUCAGCUUUCUGCACUUUUUUCUUAUCUUUUUUAAUGCACUUUUCGUUUAACAAGUCAACAUCAAUUUCUUUUGUUGUAAAAGAGUCAUUGGAAGGUGGCUUUUUCUUCGGAAAAAGUGUUUAUAGCCUUUGGCUUCUGCAAUCGGAGAGAUUGAGGUCUGCAGCGUAGAUCCUUCGGGGUUAGAUACAUUUGUGCUAAGCUAUAGUUCUUUAUAGACAGCUUGUUGACUAUAAUCAAUCCUGUAACUUACUCGCUUAUGCUAUUUUACCUACGCUUAGGAUGUUGAAGAUGUAGCACAUCAU
Molecule: ribosomal RNA, 774 nt
Filed under: uncultured Neocallimastigales
Lineage: Eukaryota; Fungi; Neocallimastigomycota; Neocallimastigomycetes; Neocallimastigales
Description: partial large subunit ribosomal RNA
Rfam family: Eukaryotic large subunit ribosomal RNA
Source: RNAcentral